GGAAUCGCUAGUAAUCGCGGAUCAGCACGCCGCGGUGAAUACGUUCCCGGGCCUUGUACACACCGCCCGUCACACCAUGGAAGUCUGCAAUGCCCGAACGCCGGUGGCCUAACCACUUAUGUGGAAGGAGCCGUCUAAGGCAGGGCAGAUGACUGGGGUGAAGUCGUAACAAGGUAAC
Molecule: ribosomal RNA, 178 nt
Filed under: uncultured bacterium
Lineage: Bacteria
Description: partial 16S ribosomal RNA
Rfam family: Bacterial small subunit ribosomal RNA
Source: RNAcentral